CUUUGGUCACUCCUGGCCAUCUUGACCACCUCAAAGUGACCACUGGUCACUCCUGACCCCCCAAAGUGACCCUUGACCACCCCUGUCCAUCCCAAGUGACCACUGGUCACUCCUGACCACCCCCAGGCCACCCCAAAAUGACCAAUGGUCACUCUUGGCCACCUUGACCACCCCAAAGUGACCACUGGUCACCCCCAGGCCACCCUUGACCACCCCAAGGCCACCUCAAAGUGACCACUGGUCACUCCUGUCCAUCCCAAACUGACCCUUGACCACCCCUGUCCAUCCCAAGGUGACCACUGGUCACUCCUGGCCACCUCAAAGUGACCACUGUCCAUCCCAAAGUGGCCACUGACUAUCCCAUGCCACCCUUGACCACCCCAAAGUGACCACUGGUCACUCAUGACCAUCUCAAAGUGACCACUGGUCACUCCUGACCACCCCAAAGUGACCACUGGUCACUCCUGGUCACCUCAAAUGACCACUGGUCACUCCUGGUCACCCCAAGUGACCACUGGUCAUCCCAAAGUGGCCACUGACCGUCCCAUGCCACCCUUGACCACCCCCAAAGUGACCACUGGUCACUCCUGGUGACCCCAAAGUGACCCUUGACCACCCCUGUCCACCUCAAAAUGACCACUGGUCACUCUUGGCCACCUUGACCACCCCAAAGUGACCAGUGGUCACCCCCAGGCCACCCUUGACCACCCCAAGGCCACCCCAAAGUGACCACUGGUCACUCCUGGUCACUCUAAAGUGACCACUGGCCACUCCUGUCCAUCCCAAACUGACCCUUGACCACCCCUGUCCAUCCCAAGGUGACCACUGGUCACUCCUGGUCACCUUAAAGUGACCACUGUCCAUCCCAAAGUGGCCACUGACCAUCCCAGGCCACCCUUGACCACCCCAAAGUGACCACUGGUCACUCUUGGCCACCCGUGACCACCCCAAAGUGACCACUGGUCACUCCUGGUCACUCCUGGUCACUCCUGGUCACUCAGAAGUGACCACUGGUCACUCGUGACCAUCUCAAGUGACCACUGGUCAUUCCUGGUCACCUCAAAUUGACCUUUGACCACCCCUGUCCAUCCCAAGGUGACCACUGGUCACUCCUGACCCCCCAAAGUCACCACUGGUCACCCCCAGGCCACCCUUGACCACCCCAGACCACCCCAAAGUGACCACUGGUCACUCCUGGUGACCCCAAAGUGACCACUGGUCACUCCUGGUCACUCCUGGUCACCCCCGUGUCCACCCUGACCCCGCCCCCCUGGAUCCCUGACCUUUGACCCUUGUCUGGCCCCGCCCCCUGUUCCCUUUCCCGGCCAAUAAAAUCGCUCCGAGCCGU
Molecule: non-coding RNA, 1348 nt
Organism: Taeniopygia guttata (zebra finch)
Lineage: Eukaryota; Metazoa; Chordata; Aves; Passeriformes; Estrildidae
Source: RefSeq, a predicted model, not a curated record